Long non-coding RNA from Nothoprocta perdicaria, 101 nucleotides. RefSeq lists it as uncharacterized. Lineage: Eukaryota; Metazoa; Chordata; Aves; Tinamiformes; Tinamidae. The transcript has 2 exons. The record is from RefSeq and is a predicted model, not a curated record.
AUUUGUAUUCUCAGGGGAAGAUGUCUGGAUCUUACUCAUUUGAUGGCUGAGACACAAAAAACUUGACUGAGGCAAUGGGUGAGAGCAAAAGGAAUGCAUUC